GACGAACGCUGGCGGCGUGCUUAACACAUGCAAGUCGAACGGAAAGGCCCUGCUUUUGUGGGGUGCUCGAGUGGCGAACGGGUGAGUAACACGUGAGUAACCUGCCCUUGACUUUGGGAUAACUUCAGGAAACUGGGGCUAAUACCGGAUAGGAGCUCCUGCUGCAUGGUGGGGGUUGGAAAGUUUCGGCGAUUGGGGAUGGACUCGCGGCUUAUCAGCUUGUUGGUGGGGUAGUGGCUUACCAAGGCUUUGACGGGUAGCCGGCCUGAGAGGGUGACCGGCCACAUUGGGACUGAGGUACGGCCCAGACUCCUACGGGAGGCAGCAGUGGGGAAUAUUGCACAAUGGGCGGAAGCCUGAUGCAGCAACGCCGCGUGCGGGAUGACGGCCUUCGGGUUGUAAACCGCUUUCGCCUGUGACGAAGCGUGAGUGACGGUAAUGGGUAAAGAAGCACCGGCUAACUACGUG
This 468-nucleotide ribosomal RNA is filed under the name uncultured bacterium. Its description in RNAcentral is "partial 16S ribosomal RNA". It matches the Rfam family "Bacterial small subunit ribosomal RNA", at positions 28 to 507 of the family's 1533-position model. The record is from RNAcentral.